CCCUUCUGCCAAAACAAAUCUCAAUUUUUCGGAAAACAUUUGAAAUACUCUGUAGAGCCUCCAGGAUUACUUGGACAUGUCUUCCCAUUUGAAAAUUUCUGUAUUCGGUCCUGUCUUUCAUGUAUUGUCAAAAUAUUAAUUUACAUGUAUAUAUAUAAGAAUUGCACUUCCAAUUUUCAUCAGGACGCAAAAAUAAGCCAACUUGAAGGUUCUGUGUUGAAGGCCGUAUUGUAAAAUAAUACUGCUUACUUUAACUUCAUUGUCUUGGAUGGAGAGUUGUCUCAUUGGGCACUCGUACCCACAUCUUCUUAUUUGUGUACUAGUGUUGUACUCAUGUUGUUUUUGUAUCAGGAUUAUAUGUUCUACUAACCUCUAGUUUUCAGUAAGUGUUUAUUUC
This 397-nucleotide long non-coding RNA is filed under the name Mytilus galloprovincialis (Mediterranean mussel). The record is from RNAcentral. Lineage: Eukaryota; Metazoa; Mollusca; Bivalvia; Mytilida; Mytilidae.